UACGUAGGGUGCAAGCGUUAAUCGGAAUUACUGGGCGUAAAGCGUGCGCAGGCGGUGAUGUAAGACAGAUGUGAAAGCCCCGGGCUCAACCUGGGAAUGGCGAUGAAGACUGCAAGGCUUGAAUCUGGCAGAGGGGGGUAGAAUUCCACGUGUAGCAGUGAAAUGCGUAGAGAUGUGGAGGAACACCGAUGGCGAAGGCAGCCCCCUGGGUCAAGAUUGACGCUCAUGCACGAAAGCGUGGGGAGCAAACAGG
RNAcentral lists this ribosomal RNA (253 nucleotides) under uncultured bacterium. RNAcentral describes it as "partial 16S ribosomal RNA". It matches the Rfam family "Bacterial small subunit ribosomal RNA", at positions 524 to 776 of the family's 1533-position model. The record is from RNAcentral.